UUUAUCAUAUUCGUGGAAAUUUCAGACAGACCGAUCCUAUUCAGAAUUGACAUUACUGAGGGAACUGGCGAAUUGGCGAAUCUGACCGGUGCACAGUCGGGGUACCGAGUAAUCCAUUAGGAUAACGACGCCAUGAUACCGGCUGAUAGAGUCCCAGGCAUGUGGGAAUGAGCAUUAUGUUCACUCUGGACGACCAAAAAAUUUUAUAGGACAAAUGAAAGCUACUUUCCUGUUGUAACAAAAGAAUAUUACAAGUCGAACUGCAAAGAUCCGAAAUACGUUCCAUUUCCUGAAGAAUGUUGG
RNAcentral lists this long non-coding RNA (303 nucleotides) under Dermacentor andersoni. RNAcentral describes it as "uncharacterized LOC126539329". The record is from RNAcentral. Lineage: Eukaryota; Metazoa; Arthropoda; Arachnida; Ixodida; Ixodidae.